RNAcentral lists this ribosomal RNA (492 nucleotides) under uncultured bacterium. Its description in RNAcentral is "partial 16S ribosomal RNA". It matches the Rfam family "Bacterial small subunit ribosomal RNA", at positions 28 to 507 of the family's 1533-position model. The record is from RNAcentral.
GAUGAACGCUAGCUACAGGCUUAACACAUGCAAGUCGAGGGGAAACGACAUCGAAAGCUUGCUUUUGAUGGGCGUCGACCGGCGCACGGGUGAGUAACGCGUAUCCAACCUGCCCAUCACUUGGGAAUAACCUUGCGAAAGUAAGACUAAUACCCAAUGACAUCCCACGAAGACAUCUGAAUGGGAUUAAAGAUUUAUCGGUGAUGGAUGGGGAUGCGUCUGAUUAGCUUGUUGGCGGGGUAACGGCCCACCAAGGCAACGAUCAGUAGGGGUUCUGAGAGGAAGGUCCCCCACAUUGGAACUGAGACACGGUCCAAACUCCUACGGGAGGCAGCAGUGAGGAAUAUUGGUCAAUGGGCGAGAGCCUGAACCAGCCAAGUAGCGUGCAGGAUGACGGCCCUAUGGGUUGUAAACUGCUCUUAUAAGGGAAUAAAGUGGGUAUCGUGAGACUUUUUGCAUGUACCUUAUGAAUAAGGACCGGCUAAUUCCGUG